ACGCUGGCGGCAGGCUUAACACAUGCAAGUCGAACGGUAACAGGGAUUAGCUUGCUAAUUUGCUGACGAGUGGCGGACGGGUGAGUAAUGCUUGGGAAUCUGGCUUAUGGAGGGGGAUAACUACGGGAAACUGUAGCUAAUACCGCGUAAUAUCGGAAGAUUAAAGGGUGGGACUUUCGAGCCACCUGCCAUAAGAUGAGCCCAAGUGGGAUUAGGUAGUUGGUUAGGUAAAGGCUGACCAAGCCGACGAUCUCUAGCUGGUCUGAGAGGAUGACCAGCCACACUGGAACUGAGACACGGUCCAGACUCCUACGGGAGGCAGCAGUGGGGAAUAUUGCACAAUGGGGGGAACCCUGAUGCAGCCAUGCCGCGUGAAUGAAGAAGGCCUUCGGGUUGUAAAGUUCUUUCGGUGACGAGGAAGGUUGAUAGGUUAAUAGCCUAUCAAAUUGACGUUAAUCACAGAAGAAGCACCGGCUAACUCCGUGCCAGCAGCCGCGGUAAUACGGGGGGUGCGAGCGUUAAUCGGAAUAACUGGGCGUAAAGGGCACGCAGGCGGUGACUUAAGUGAGAUGUGAAAGCCCCGAGCUUAACUUGGGAAUUGCAUUUCAUACUGGGUCGCUAGAGUACUUUAGGGAGGGGUAGAAUUCCACGUGUAGCGGUGAAAUGCGUAGAGAUGUGGAGGAAUACCGAAGGCGAAGGCAGCCCCUUGGGAAUGUACUGACGCUCAUGUGGGAAAGCGUGGGGAGCAAACAGGAUUAGAUACCCUGGUAGUCCACGCUGUAAACGAUGUCGAUUUGGGGAUUGGGCUUUGAGCUUGGUGCCCGUAGCUAACGUGAUAAAUCGACCGCCUGGGGAGUACGGCCGCAAGGUUAAAACUCAAAUGAAUUGACGGGGGCCCGCACAAGCGGUGGAGC
This 914-nucleotide ribosomal RNA is filed under the name uncultured bacterium. Its description in RNAcentral is "bacterial SSU rRNA". It matches the Rfam family "Bacterial small subunit ribosomal RNA", at positions 33 to 938 of the family's 1533-position model. The record is from RNAcentral.